Molecule: long non-coding RNA, 2534 nt
Organism: Arvicola amphibius (Eurasian water vole)
Lineage: Eukaryota; Metazoa; Chordata; Mammalia; Rodentia; Cricetidae
Exons: 2
Source: RefSeq, a predicted model, not a curated record
UGGUGGUGUACACCCAUUCAACCACACUCAGUCAAUUUGAGGACAUAUGAGGAAUGCCACAGGAACUCAGCCAAGCCACCUGCAGCUGACGGUUGUCACAGAAAAGGAGUCAGAGCAGAGGGCCAGAAGGCACAGAUCCAGGUGACAUUCACCAGCCUCACUUUCUGGUAGGUGGGGUGUAAUGAAUGCCAUGUGUAGGUCUCACUCUUACCCUGACUUUCAUCCUCUGGCUGAUGGAUAAGGGAAAUGGUGCUUUGGAGUAUCGGAAGCGUCAGAUGGAAGGAGACUUCAUCGCUGAACAGGUCUGCUGGAGACCCUGGAUCCUACACAAUGAAUGACAACUGGAGGGGAAAACAAGCUUUGUGGUCAGCCAAUGGUAUUCAGAGAAGUCUACCCAAUCCCUUCCAUUUUUGGAAACAAAGUGUGACAAGAAAGGAACAGUGUGGACCUUGUACCUAGUAUACAGAGGUGAAUGAGAAAUAAUCCUAUAGUUCACAGGCCAGCCCCGCAAGAAAAGCAGUGUGCUGUCCCAAAUGUUGAAGGUUAUCUCUAAGAGACUGAAUUUCAUUGUGUAGUAUUAUUGUAUGUCUGAGGUAAUACUAUAGUAAAUGGCUGUGAACAUUAAUGGGAGGAUAUUUCGAUUAUUCAUUCAACAUGCUCUUAAGUAUCUGUGACAUGCCAGGCAACUUUCAGAGACACUGGAGAUACAGAAGAGCAUGGGUCAUGGUCUUUGUUCUCAUGAAGGCUGUGUUUUACAGUGGAUGUGGGGGGAGAAUAAACAACCCCCGUAGAGCAUCAACAGCAUCAGCAAGAACGACUAUGGAGGCAGGAAACCAAACCUGAGAGAGAAAAGCCUUCAGGGAAGCGCUCCAUCUGCAUCUCGGACUGAGAGUACUCUGGGUGUGGCAAAGGCACCAUGGCGAGAAUUCUGCCUCAGCCUCACUCUGCAGCCUGGACCUGUUGCCCCAGCGUUAGACUCAGGACUCCGCUGCCCACCGCCUCUCUUUACAUGGAUGUCCUGGAUCAUGUGAAACUUCACACACCUCAACAUGGAUUUGGCAAUUGUUGCCUUUUCCUCUCUUACCCCUCAGCUUGGCUCUGUUGAUUGUCCUCAAUCUCAGCAUCACCCACCCAUGACCUCAGUGUCAUUUUGGGUAUCUUUCUCCUCUUUAGUUUCACCACUCAAAUCUUGCCGAACUUACUCUGCGUAGCUUUGAAUCCCCGCCCCAUCCCUAUUUCCAUCAAAACCCAGUCUCCGAUGGCCACUUUCCUUCCCUUCAACAAUGUCAUAGUUUGUCUAAAAAGGAAGUCAAGGCUCAGAGUGGGGACAGUCCAUCUCUUGGGGUCUAGCAGGAAAGGUAGUAGUGUCUUUCCUUUUCUUCAGGAGGAGAGAUGUGCAAAUACUACCCCGGCUACACUUUUUGACCCCGAGGACUAGGUUGUCAGUGGAUGUCACUGCCAUCCAUUUAUUCAAAAUCCUGCUAGAGCCUGACCCGGAGUCUGAAUACGAGCCACACUAUACUCAGUUGCCUCCCAACAUAGAGAAGGGUGCUGGCAUUGCUAUUCUGUCCUAACCGUUAUCAGGUGAGUCACUUGUCAUCAGUGAGGGUGGGGGAGGCACUACAAGUGAUGGCUCUACACAGAACUAUUCAACCCUUGUGCGGAAUUAGCCAGAGAAAGAAGAUGGCCUUACAUUAUUUUAAGUGUCUCUCUGGAACCACGCACUGUGAAUCUGUGGAUUUAAGCAACCUUGGCCUGGAAGGAGUCAGGAAAAUUUGGAUGUGUACUGAACAUGGCCAAGGUUUUUAAGUCUUGUCAUUAGCCCAUGAAGAAUACAGUGUAGCAACUGCUUAUGUGGAAUUGUCAAUAUAUUAGAGAUUAUAAGUAAUCCAGGGAUGAAUUAAAGUACACAGGAGUAUGUUUAUAUGCCACGUGCAAAUAUUAGACUUUUAUUUUUAUGAUUGUACUACUAAAAUGCUUUUAUUCUUUACAAAUUUCAGGUUGGGCGGUGGUGGUACACACCUUUGGGAGGCAGAGGCAGGAGGAUCUCUGAGUUCAAGGCCAGCCUUAUCUACAAACAAUACAAGAAUUUCAUAAGUGUAUACAUUGAAAGAUGAUUCCGUCCCUUCCCACCUUCAUAUCCUUUUUUAUUUCCUAAGCCACUGAAUCUCAUUAGUGCUGCCCAUGUGUGUAUCCGUGUGGGUCAUUCACUGCAGUUUGAGAAACCUCCUCGUGUUGUGGCCACAGUCGGUAGAGACUGAUGAUUGUCCCUUUCCUUGCAGCUCUCAGCUGCCAGCAACACCUCAUCAAGGGGCGAGAACGACCUUUCGGCUGACUUGGUUUGUGCCGAUGGAGAUAACCAUAGCCUAUGAGUCAGGAGUGCAGUGGCCAUGCCACGUCUAGGGACAGCAGUUUAUAGCACCCCUCUCCAUCUUCCGGCUCUUCCAUUAUUGGUUACUUCCUCUGUGCCAUUUUCUGGGUCUGGGGAGGGGGAGGGGAAUGGGUAAUAAAGAUGUUCCAUUUAGAUGUAAGUA